CUGUGGUGGACACAUUGUUUAGUCUUCUUUGGACCUGAAUUACCACACUCCAGAGACACCUGUUGUAACUGGAAACAGCCACUGUUAUGUGCUAACCUGAAGUAUCUGAGAAGUUUCACACCCAAAAGGAGAAACACCCUCUGCCAUCACAGCCCUCAACCAGACUGCUGUUCUAAGGUCAGUCAUAUGUACUAGGAGAUGGUGUGUAUGGAAUAAUUUGCUUGUGGUCUGUUUUCCACCUUCUAGGCAACUGUAGUUACACGACAAAAUGUAGGACGUGUUUUUAAAAAUAGAGGUUAUAAUGUUAUUUGAAGAUCAGU
RNAcentral lists this long non-coding RNA (320 nucleotides) under Anser brachyrhynchus (Pink-footed goose). RNAcentral's name for it is "lncRNA (ENSABRG00000000751.1)". The record is from RNAcentral. Lineage: Eukaryota; Metazoa; Chordata; Aves; Anseriformes; Anatidae.